UACAGAGGGGGCAAGCGUUGUUCGGAAUUACUGGGCGUAAAGGGCGCGUAGGCGGCCUGUUAAGUCGAACGUGAAAUCCCUGGGCUCAACCCAGGAACUGCGUCCGAUACUGGCAGGCUUGAAUUCGGGAGAGGGAUGCGGAAUUCCAGGUGUAGCGGUGAAAUGCGUAGAUAUCAGGAGGAACACCGGUGGCGAAGGCGGCUACCUGGACAGAAACUGACGCUGAGGCGCGAAAGCUAGGGGAGCAAACAGG
RNAcentral lists this ribosomal RNA (253 nucleotides) under uncultured bacterium. RNAcentral's name for it is "partial 16S ribosomal RNA". It matches the Rfam family "Bacterial small subunit ribosomal RNA", at positions 524 to 776 of the family's 1533-position model. The record is from RNAcentral.